UCGGGGUAGCUCAGUCAGUAGAGCAUGAGACUCUUACUCUCAGGAUUGUGGGUUCCAAUUCUAUGAUGGGGAAGAG
This is a non-coding RNA of Podarcis lilfordi (Lilford's wall lizard), 76 nucleotides long. NCBI's taxonomy places the organism in Eukaryota, Metazoa, Chordata, Lepidosauria, Squamata, Lacertidae. The record is from the annotation of a GenBank genome assembly.